RNAcentral lists this transfer RNA (72 nucleotides) under Microcaldota archaeon. RNAcentral's name for it is "tRNA-Thr". It matches the Rfam family "tRNA". Rfam says of the family: Transfer RNA (tRNA) molecules are approximately 80 nucleotides in length. Their secondary structure includes four short double-helical elements and three loops (D, anti-codon, and T loops). Lineage: Archaea; Nanobdellati; Microcaldota. The record is from RNAcentral.
GCCCCUGUAGCUCAGUGGUAGAGCGCUUGCAUGGUAAGCAAGAGGUCAAGGGUUCAAUUCCCUUCUGGGGCU